UACGAAGGGGGCUAGCGUUGUUCGGAAUUACUGGGCGUAAAGCGCACGUAGGCGGAUAUUUAAGUCAGGGGUGAAAUCCCAGAGCUCAACUCUGGAACUGCCUUUGAUACUGGGUAUCUUGAGUAUGGAAGAGGUAAGUGGAAUUGCGAGUGUAGAGGUGAAAUUCGUAGAUAUUCGCAGGAACACCAGUGGCGAAGGCGGCUUACUGGUCCAUUACUGACGCUGAGGUGCGAAAGCGUGGGAGCAAACAGG
RNAcentral lists this ribosomal RNA (252 nucleotides) under uncultured bacterium. Its description in RNAcentral is "partial 16S ribosomal RNA". It matches the Rfam family "Bacterial small subunit ribosomal RNA", at positions 524 to 776 of the family's 1533-position model. The record is from RNAcentral.